Molecule: ribosomal RNA, 451 nt
Filed under: uncultured bacterium
Lineage: Bacteria
Description: partial 16S ribosomal RNA
Rfam family: Bacterial small subunit ribosomal RNA
Source: RNAcentral
GUGGGGAAUAUUGCGCAAUGGGGGAAACCCUGACGCAGCAACGCCGCGUGAGUGAGGAAGGACUUCGGUCUGUAAAGCUCUGUUAAUGUGGAAAAAUGGUAGUUGGUCUAAUAGGCCGAUUAUUUGAUGGUACACAUAGAGGAAGCACCGGCUAACUUCGUGCCAGCAGCCGCGGUAAUACGAAGGGUGCAAGCGUUGUUCGGAUUUAUUGGGCGUAAAGCGCGCGUAGGCGGACCGGCAAGUCAGAUGUGAAAUCUCGGGGCUCAACCCCGAAACUGCGUCUGAAACUACAGGUCUAGAAUCUUGGAGGGGGAAGGGGAAUAUCGCAUGUAGGGGUAAAAUCCGUAGAUAUGCGAUGGAACACCAGAGGCGAAGGCGCCUUCCUGGACAAGUAUUGACGCUGAGGCGCGAAAGCGUGGGGAUCAAACAGGAUUAGAAACCCCAGUAGUCC